Molecule: ribosomal RNA, 432 nt
Filed under: uncultured bacterium
Lineage: Bacteria
Description: partial 16S ribosomal RNA
Rfam family: Bacterial small subunit ribosomal RNA
Source: RNAcentral
GAACGAACGCUGGCGGCAGGCUUAACACAUGCAAGUCGAGCGCCCCGCAAGGGGAGCGGCCGACGGGUGAGUAACGCGUGGGAACGUACCUUUUGGUUCGGAACAACUCCGGGAAACUGGAGCUAAUACCGGAUAAGCCCUAACGGGGAAAGAUUUAUCGCCGAAAGAUCGGCCCGCGUCUGAUUAGCUAGUUGGUGAGGUAACGGCUCACCAAGGCGACGAUCAGUAGCUGGUCUGAGAGGAUGAUCAGCCACACUGGGACUGAGACACGGCCCAGACUCCUACGGGAGGCAGCAGUGGGGAGUAUUGGACAAUGGGCGCAAGCCUGAUCCAGCCAUGCCGCGUGAGUGAUGAAGGCCUUAGGGUUGUAAAGCUCUUUUGUCCGGGAAGAUAAUGACUGUACCGGAAGAAUAAGCCCCGGCUAACUUCGUG